This 474-nucleotide ribosomal RNA is filed under the name uncultured bacterium. RNAcentral's name for it is "SSU rRNA". It matches the Rfam family "Bacterial small subunit ribosomal RNA", at positions 26 to 518 of the family's 1533-position model. The record is from RNAcentral.
AGGACGAACGCUGGCGGCGCGCCUAACACAUGCAAGUCGAGCGAUAACCAGGGGCUUGCCCUUGGGGACAGCGGCGAACGGGUGCGUAACACGUGAGCAACCUGCCCCGAAGACCGGGACAACCCGAGGAAACUCGGACUAAUACCGGAUGUCCUCACCGGAUCGCAUGGUCUGGUGAGGAAAUGGAUUCCGCUUCGGGAUGGGCUCGCGGUCUAUCAGCUUGUUGGUGGGUAACGGCCUACCAAGGCGACGACGGAUAGCUGGUCUGAGAGGACGAUCAGCCACACUGGGACUGAGACACGGCCCAGACUCCUACGGGAGGCAGCAGUGGGGAAUCUUGCGCAAUGGGGGAAACCCUGACGCAGCGACGCCGCGUGCGGGAUGAAGGCCUUCGGGUUGUAAACCGCUUUCAGCAGGGACGAAAUUGACGGUACCUGCAGAAGAAGGCCCGGCCAACUACGUGCCAGCAGCCGC